AUUUGUUGGUAUGAGAAUGCAACACGAAGACUUUAAAAAAGGUUUAAAUGGUUAAAAACUCCAUUAUAUCUGAAAUAAAUAAAAUCUAAAACUCGUGCGGCCGUCUAUAAUAAAUAGGAAAAUGUAGGGAGUGAAUAUAAGAAGAGAAGAAGUUUUUGGGGGUCACAAUUUGCAAAAGAACAUGAAGGAUCAGAAUGUGUCACGUGUCUCUCACAUGGGUUUCCCGACGGGAAGCAAUUUGAGAGGACGAGUAAAGUCGGAAUAAAUGUGAGAGCUUCAUCUUGUGUGUCUGCCCUCUCUUCUUCCUUCGAAGCUGAGCUUUUUUUUGGGUUGCUUCACAGUUCAGUCACUCCACAAAGAGAUUCACAUGAUUUUUAGAAAGCAAAGUAUAAGAUCAAGCCAGAGAGUAGAAGAAUAAGAGGAAGGAUUGAUAAGAGCAAGAUAAGGAAUUUUAUAAACCAUGGGAGGUUAUGUGUUGGGUUCGGCCAGAUCGGGGCAGAUGAUAAUGGUGGCUCUGGUUCUAAUGCUUGGAUCAUUCUACGCCGGCUCUAUCAACCUUUUUCUUCUUCCAAUUCACUGGCAUGUACAGAUUAUAUAAUGUGAAGGUUUAGUAUGAAAAUAAUAUGAGUAUAAGGAUACUUCGGCUGUUGCCCAUAUCUAAAAGGAUACUUUAAUGUAUGGUAACUCCUUCUAUUGACUCUUAUCUCUUUUGGGGGACACUUGCUAUUGAUGCCCAAGCCAAGCUUUCAACCUUAAAAGACGAACUCUUUUUGUGAAACAAUCAAAUUAGCUUAGAGUGAACCUGCCACAUGUUUAAUGCUGGUUAAUCAUAUUCUGAAUCAGAUGAGAUGAUUUGUUUGUUGCGUCCUUUACCAUGUCGGGUGCUUGUAACUUUUGGAAUAACUGUUUUGGACGAUUCCCUAUCACCCAAAAGAGACAUAUUUGGGCAGUUCAAAUUUAUAACCUUUAUUCUUAUUAUUUAAGAUUAAGUUAUUAGUUUAACUAAGAAAUUAACCUGGUGGUGUUUCCUCUGUUCGGCAUUAUAGAGGACAAUCCAUCUUCAGCUACGUGACUCCUGUUAUGUGAAGUAAAAAUUAGAGACAAAAAGUAUAUGACGUAUUACUGCUACAAAAUCCAAAGCACCUGCUAGCUCCUUGUUUCCUCGUUAGUCUUCCAGGAAUUCCAGAGACCACACCAACAGAAAUUGUCUAUAGAAGAUAUAGGUUUUUGUAAAUAUGUAAUCAUAAUAACCUGGAACAAUAUAAUAUUAUUUCUGUUUUUCUUAAAAAAUGUAAGUGUUUUUAAAACCUGUGGCGGAAAGUCU
RNAcentral lists this long non-coding RNA (1324 nucleotides) under Capsella grandiflora. RNAcentral's name for it is "long non-coding RNA (CGRA_LNC000678)". The record is from RNAcentral. Lineage: Eukaryota; Viridiplantae; Streptophyta; Magnoliopsida; Brassicales; Brassicaceae.